CUAAUCGCAUCUUUCCCUUCGGGGACAGAAGUGACAGGUGGUGCAUGGUUGUCGUCAGCUCGUGUCGUGAGAUGUUGGGUUAAGUCCCGCAACGAGCGCAACCCUUGCCUUUAUUGCCAGCAUUAAGUUGGGCACUCUAGAGGGACUGCCAGGAUAACCUGGAGGAAGGUGGGGAUGACGUCAAAUCAUCAUGCCCCUUAUGCUUAGGGCUACACACGUGCUACAAUGGGUGGUACAGAGGGCAGCCAAGUCGUGAGGCCNGAGCUAAUCCCUUAAAGCCAUUCUCAGUUCGGAUUGUAGGCUGAAACUCGCCUACAUGAAGCUGGAGUUACUAGUAAUCGCAGAUCAGAAUGCUGCGGUGAAUGCGUUCCCGGGUCUUGUACACACCG
RNAcentral lists this ribosomal RNA (389 nucleotides) under uncultured bacterium. RNAcentral's name for it is "bacterial SSU rRNA". It matches the Rfam family "Bacterial small subunit ribosomal RNA", at positions 1002 to 1392 of the family's 1533-position model. The record is from RNAcentral.